RNAcentral lists this ribosomal RNA (304 nucleotides) under uncultured bacterium. RNAcentral describes it as "partial 16S ribosomal RNA". It matches the Rfam family "Bacterial small subunit ribosomal RNA", at positions 506 to 807 of the family's 1533-position model. The record is from RNAcentral.
CAGCAGCAGCCGCGGGAAUACGAAGGGUGCAAGCGUUAAUCGGAAUUACUGGGCGUAAAGCGUGCGUAGGCGGUGAGUUAAGUCUGCUGUGAAAUCCCCGGGCUCAACCUGGGAAUGGCAGUGGAUACUGGCUCGCUAGAGUGUGUCAGAGGAUGGUGGAAUUCCCGGUGUAGCGGUGAAAUGCGUAGAGAUCGGGAGGAACAUCAGUGGCGAAGGCGGCCAUCUGGGACAACACUGACGCUGAGGCACGAAAGCGUGGGGAGCAAACAGGAUUAGAUACCCCCGUAGUCCCUGUCUCUUAUAC